GACGGAGGGGGCAAGCGUUGUCCGGAAUUACUGGGCGUAAAGCGCUCGUAGGCGGCUGCAUACGGCGGCGGUGAAAGCUCCCGGCUCAACUGGGAGAGGCCCGUCGCAACGGUGCGGCUCGAGGGUGGUAGAGGCAGACGGAAUUCCUGGUGUAGCGGUGAAAUGCGUAGAGAUCAGGAGGAACACCCGUGGCGAAGGCGGUCUGCUGGGCCAUACCUGACGCUGAGGAGCGAAAGCCAGGGGAGCGAACGGG
Molecule: ribosomal RNA, 253 nt
Filed under: uncultured bacterium
Lineage: Bacteria
Description: partial 16S ribosomal RNA
Rfam family: Bacterial small subunit ribosomal RNA
Source: RNAcentral